Long non-coding RNA from Marmota monax (woodchuck), 3427 nucleotides. RefSeq lists it as uncharacterized. The transcript is spliced from 4 exons. The record is from RefSeq and is a predicted model, not a curated record. NCBI's taxonomy places the organism in Eukaryota, Metazoa, Chordata, Mammalia, Rodentia, Sciuridae.
UAGUGAGCCUCUGCCAGGACUGGUUUUCAGACCCGGGUGAAAUUACAAGGUCUGGGCACCUGGGUUUGGAGGGGCACCUGGGUUUGGAGGGGCACCUGGGUUUGGAGCCACACCUGCCGGCCACCGUAGUGCAGCCGGAAAUAUGGCAGCUGCCUGGCUCUCAGCGGGCUACUGGGAGGCGCUCAGCGGCCCUCUCACAGGAGGACAAAGUGCAGCUCACCCACUGGAUCAGCUCAACAAUGUCCCGAUCACCGUGCUCUCCGCUUCAAGACACGCCAGGGUGGUAAUCCAAAGUGUGGGCUCUCUUGGCGCCCCUUUCCCACCUGCCCAUGAUGGUGGGUCCACAUCAGCGGCUGCGGUGCCCGGGUGAGAAUAAUGAUAUGCUUCUCCAUUGGAGCUGCUGCUGCUCAGGACCACCAUGACAGUGCUGCCACACCCAGAGCAGUCAGGAGACAGGAAGCUCGACCCGUCUGCCCCUGUCUGCAGCCUUCAUUCACUCUUCAGAGCCUCCAGGGAGAACUUGUCAUUGGAGGCUCUGAUUUCAUCUUAUUUCCCAGUCAUAGGUGAACAUGUUGGGAACCACAAGUUUUACUCCAUGGUUUUUCUAGUGGUGGAUGGUGUCUUUAUGUAAUGGAAAUGGGCUCACCUGACCAUGUCACCAUUACUGAACUCUCAUCAAACAAGAAUUUAUAGAAGUCGACUACAUGUUAUUCAGACUCCACCCGAAGUGCAGCAAAAAGGCGAUUCAACCAAAGAAAUACCUCAGCUUCUGCAUGUCACGUGUGCACACCUUUUUAGACCUCCAUUUUGUCUGCUCCCUCAUCGGAUCUGGGAGAAGGGAAGCUUGGAGUGGUAGUUGCUAUUCCUCUGAACCUCAAUUGUCUUUCUUCGCAGCAGGACUAAAUGUGAGAAGCAGGUUUUAUAUUUAAGUUCUGUACUUUGUCCUGCAAAACUCACACACAUGAUAUCUGCCAAGUUAGAGUUCUGCAGAAAAUUAUACUUUGAAGAAAUUAAACAGAGGCACUCACCUGUGUGGGCACUGCAGGGGAGAGGACAAUCCCAAGCUGAUGCCACAGAGCAUGGCUGUGGCUCCUAUUUUCUUCACCUUUCCCCCUCCUUCUUCAAUCCAGUCUGUUAACAAACCUGCUCCCCACUCAGUUGUGCCUUUGCUAGUUCUUCACCACUGUAGUCCAAUACCUGGAACAAAACAAUUCUUGGCCCAUUUUAUAUUGAAUAAAGUGCUUAAUUUGCUUUCCUCCUACCUCUUAUGAAGUUGCUGAUGAACUUGUCCUUGGGAAAGAGGGACAGAGAGAGCUACAUGGAGAAGAAUAAAUGCAUGCCUUUGGAUCAGGUGACAGGCCUUCAGCUAUUUGAGGACAAUGACUCUAUCUUUCUGGAUUCUUCUGUUCAGGCUGCCUCAGCAAGAAUUCUGCGUCUGCUGGGGACACUGCGUUUGGAGUGCUGAAUUGAGAUCCAGACCCUGCAUGUAAGAAAGAUGGAAAAAAUAGAGGAAGUGCUGGUCCUCAGUGGGGAACAACCAGAGACUCCCACACUACUCCAUAGGGAGAAUCCGCCUUGUGCUCUGGGUCUGCCUCCUCUCCUGUGCAGGAACAUCUACAGCAAUAACCUGGCAUUACCAUGUCCCUAUUGACCAGAAAUCUCCUUGCCAUCAGGGAAUCUCGAGUGAAAUGCUACUGCCUAUCACAGUUCUCCGUGGAAUUAUUGGCACUUCUUUGGAGCAAACAAAUAUUUUUUUCUAGUGUUUUUUUUUUUUUUUUUUUUGGCGGGGUGGGGGCAGCACUCAGAAUGGACUAAGCAACUCCUAGGAGUAUCAGCUUGGGCUAGAUUCUGUGUGGAGGUCCAGAGGGAGGAAAAGUCCUGGUUAUAAUGGAGAAAACAUCCUAGACACAUAGGAGAAAAGACCCAAAAACAAAAAUAGGGAAGUGUAAUGUACCCAGCUCUGCUCACAGCACAUGGGAGUUGGCACUGUGUUCAGCUCUGGUGCUCAAUCAAGGUCGAAACAUAACCCAAACAUUGGCAGGCCCGUGGGCCAACUCCCUACAUUUCUGGAAUGGUCUUACUGAGAAUAAGAAAUACAUUUCAUCCCUUAGAAUUUUCUUUAUUCUUUACCACCCAGGCUGCCUCUGCUCUCUUGUGCUGGACAAGACCCAUCUCAUUCCAAGCACACGCUGCCAUGUUGUCUGAGCACAGGUGGAAACCUCUUGUCGCCCCCUCCAGAACUCUUUUUUGAGGAGAUUCCCAUAUUUAUUUAGAAGAAAUAUUUGAGUCACUAUGGGUGGAGGGUGACACCUAAGAGAACUGCUUUGUAUGGGACAAGAAGGGGAAUAUGUGUCACUUCUGAGAGAGGGGAGUGGGGAGAAGAAAAAGAAAGAAAGAGAAAGAAAGAAAAGAAGGCAGAAAGAAAGAAAAGGAAAAAGAGGUGAGGGGCAUUUAGAGAUAGAAACGACCUUGGAGGUGAUCCUGGCUCUGGAGAGGCUUAAUAUGAAUUACUAAAAUUACCAAGUGACAGAUGGGAAUGAGAGUGCUAGGGCAGGGGCUGUGUAUGUACUGUGCUUACACCUGAAUGGGAGAGGCCAGAGACCAUGGCCAGGCUGCAGGAACUGAAAGAAGAUUUGAGCCUGAGUAGCAAUUGUCUCCUUGUUUGUUUUUCCCGCUGGACCUCCUCCUCCGUGGGCUCUGUCCAGUGUCCAGUACACUGCCCCAAACAUAGAGGGCCCUCAUUCAAUGUUUUUUAAAGGAAAGAAUGAUGGAAAACUAGACCUUUUCAGAGAAAUCCUCUUAUUUUGCAAGUAACAAAGGCUAAAAUGUAAAUGAGAAUGUUGUAGAAACUGCAAAGUCCCUAUAUUGAUUUCUUCUGAAGUUUUCUGAUUCAUUUGAAGGAAGACAGAGCCAGAUAAACUUUAUAUAAAUGUUGUCCCUAUCUGGAUGAGUCUAGCUCAGAUGGAUUGGUCUAUCUCAGAUAUACCUGUGCCACAAAGACAUGGAAUUGUGUGGCAUCAUGGAAUAUGAUCUGGAAUCAUAGAAAAUUAGCAUGGAGAGGGGAUAUUAGAAAUCACUUAGACAUAAUCCAAACUCUUCCCCUUAUGUCACUCACCACUUUCUGUUUUUGUUUCCUUGCUUUAUAAAAUGUCUUUUAUUUUGAAACAAGGCCUUUCAGCCUGUCAACAUAAGUGUGUUUUCCACUCAGGAAUAAACUUUGAUUAAAAGCAUGAAACAUGAUUGGCAUAAAAUCAGUGCUGAAAAGUGCUUUGCAAAUGUUUUACAAGAAAUAAAUAGUACUUCAAACUCCAAUGGCUUCCUGAUAAAUCAACAGCUUGAUAGGAUGUUUAGUUGGGCACUCAGAUGGGAUGGGCAAAGUGGACUUAGAACUCAGUGGGACUUGGAGAAAGCCGACUAGGGGUUACAG